This is a long non-coding RNA of Passer domesticus (house sparrow), 8607 nucleotides long. RefSeq lists it as uncharacterized. NCBI's taxonomy places the organism in Eukaryota, Metazoa, Chordata, Aves, Passeriformes, Passeridae. The record is from RefSeq and is a predicted model, not a curated record. The transcript has 5 exons.
CGUCACAAAAAGGAGAUACAUAGCUCAGUCACAGUGAUUUAUUGAUGGAAAAACAGAAGGAGACAGUCUUCAAAAUGGCCAGUCAGCUGAAGAAGCCAGACUGGGAAUAUCUGUAUCUUCCCAUUUGAAAACCUCACCUGUUGCUUGCUCCUACAGAGUAUCUGGAAACACUGACCACGCACUUUGCCAGUUGAAGACUGCCCAGUCAACUCUGCUGGAAGCCUGGGAUCAUGGAGAAGGAGACAGACUGUAGCAGUGUGCUGCAAGUAUGGGAAGCAUGGAAUUAGUUUUGUGGAGGCUGCAAGGAGGGAGCAGUCUGGUUCCUAAAGGACAAAAUAACUGAAAUUUUCACAGCCUUGUGCUCACCAGCAUGAGCUUAUGUACCAGAGAUGACCUUGAUACACUGUCUUCACACACAGAGAGAGGGCAUCCCACAUCCACAGCAGGAGGUGCACCAGGGGGAAGAGCCACGUGAUGAGGAAGAGAUGCGUCUGUGCAGGAUGGCAAGCUGACGUUUCCAACAAUGCUGCCUUGUUGGGAUGUGGCAGUCUCCAACUGGGGAAGUGGAGUUGAACCGUGAAUAGCAACGCCACGUGCUCCCAGGGCAAUUUUUCCAGGUCAUUUAAUGCUAAUAAACAAAAACCCACAGCAGAGUUAAAGGCAGCCCAUAGCCUAGCCACAACAGUGAAGGCAGUAAGUUUAGGAACUGGUUUGCUUCCAGAGAUGUUAAAGGUUUGGAAAAAUUAACUGCAGUAUGUUGAUGUGAAGAUUUAUGAGAGGAUCAAGAAGAUAUGAAAAUGAAGGAGUCAACAAUAUCAGAGCAUGACAUGAGAUAGUGAAGUAUUUUAUUUCCAUUGCUUUCAAUAUUAUCUCUUGUGUGUUAGCAGGAAAUAAUCUGAGCAGAGAGACUGCAUAGCAGAGGUACGGAAAAUAGAUGUGAUCAUUUUCCACAGACGCAAUGAGCACCACUCUAGAUAUUUUAUAACUUGCUAGUGUUUUAUGUCAUUUCUUCAGACAUCUGCACAUUAGAGUGACUGAGAACUGCAAAUGAUGUAUAGUUAAGAUAUCCCCCUAUAAUUAAGCUGAAAUAAUGCUGGAUUAUUCUAGCAUAAUUAUAGGGGGCUAUUUUAACUAUUAGCUCAUUAAAAAGCUAUGAUGCAAAUCUCAUUCUGAAAGGGACGAAAAAAUGAGGGUAUAUGAACAAAAUGUCAGUAGUCCUCUGCUAAGACCAGAUGGAGAGGUAUAACUAUAUUCCAUUUAUCAGUCAAUAUAUUUAAUUAUAGCCAGGCUUGGAUGGAGCCUACAAUGGUGUUUAUUAUAUUUAGUGUUUGCAGAUGGAUGUGGUGAUUCAGAAACACUUGGGAAGGGAAUGUGGUACCUAUGCAAAAGGGUAGACUUCAGCUGAAUUUGGUUUGGGUUUCACAUGAAGUCCUGCCACGUUCUCCUCUCCAGAUGGGAGCUGUCCUUUUGCCCACCUUGCCCUUCAGGUGUGGCACACAGGAUUCCAGAAUUGCGUGUGCCAGGCUGUGCAGUGGUGGUUCAGCCCCACGAGGAGGCUGGCCCCAAGGAGCGUGCAGGGGAUGGCAGCUACCACAAGCCCCAACAGAGCACAAGGCGCUCGCCUGUGUCUAAUCUGCUUGGGGUCAGCGUUGGUCAAGUGCUAUGGAGCAGCAAUGUUUGGGUAACAAAAGGGAGGCAGUAUGCUUGGCUAGUCAGACUUUGGACAAAGGAUAUCCUGGAAAGAGAGCUGCCUGCCCUCGCGUGCUGUCUUCCAGAGGACAGAAAGUUAAUCUCCAUUUUGUUAAUUCCCUCUCUCCUCUGAAGGACCCCGAGGGGGACAAGGCAUCCCGAGGAGCUGGAGAGAGGAGCUAUUGCCCUGUUCCCUGGCAUUGUUUGAACGCCAGCUCGGCUGUGCUAACCAGUGAAAAGCUGUCCUGGGACAAAAUCUGAUCCUGCUGUGCUUGUAAUAACAAAGGUCUCUUUUGCCUGGCACUGCAUAUAGGGUGGGAUACAGUUGGGGCACAGUUUCAAACAUUGAAACUCCAUGUUUUGGAUUUUCUAAGACCUCCAGGAUCAUUCCCUCCAGAGAAGGGGAUCUAUCCCUUGCCUGUCAUUAGGGUAUCACUUUACAAGGGUCAGGUUUUUCAUCCCAGUUCAGCCACUAAUAUUGACUUGCCCACAGUGAUUUGCUUUGCAUAUAUGGUUGGGUGUGCCUGCUCUGCCCAAAGGGGCAACUCAUCUCAUCUCUGGCAUCCGACAGCAAGCGUCAGGGAGAAAUAAUAGACCAGGGGCUAAAUAAGAAAAAUGACUUCUCGCCCUCAAGCAUUAUGACAACAAAUGGUGAAGAACAUGCCCUCAGGGAACAGCGAAAUGAAUGAGAUGAAUGCCUAAUGCCCAAUAACUACAUGUCAAAUCAAAGACCAGACUCUUAAAGCACGAAGUUGGCAGAGUCUGGUGGAUGCAAGAAGUAGAGAGUCAGCAGGGAAAUUUAUUGUUGCACAGGAUGGCACAUUAUGUACAUCUUUCUGGAGAGCUAUUUGUGCUUGUUGUUGGCUUUUGAAGAGUAGGUGAAGAGUGUUAAGACUUUGUUUUAUAACAAAAAAAAAAAAAAAAGGAAGGAGAAAAAUCAACAAAAAGGCAGGAGUGGCAGCUCAAGUAAAACUGAAGUCCCACCAAAGUCUCUGUGUGGUCUAGAACUCAGCUGUAUGUUAUAAUUUAUUUUUUCCCCUCAGCUUGCCCCAUAGCUGGCUGCUUAGCUCAGGAACAAGAGUGCAAGUCAAAAAGAACGGGGAGACCCAGUAAGAAGCUGGGGACAUAGCACAGACUAUUUAUGUGCUUGACUGAAUAACUCAUGGCUAGAUGUGAUCGGGAAAGGGUGUUCUGGAUUUUCACCCAAAAAUAUAUAUUUCUUUAUUUGAUUUGACUAAAGGCUGGAUGAAAACUAAGAACUAGGCCACAAGCCCAAGUGACCCAGCAGAAAGCAUUCACGUGUGCGUGUUGGAUGUGAGCAACUGGAAUGGGAGCACACGAAGUGCCCCACUGGUUUAUGCUAAACCUGACAGUGCAAUGCUGCACGCCGAGACUGCAGAACGAGUGAUGUGGUUACAGGAGUGGGCAAGUGGCGUGCUUCCCUGCGCCAAGGUCUGCAAAGAGCUUCAGAGGAUGUUGCGGCCCCAGCCCCCGGGGGCACGGCUCUGUGCUGCCCGUGCCCUUGCCGCUGGGAAGAUAUUGCACGGGAAACUGGGAUUGGGGACCUGGAAGCACUGCCGCUGGUGAGAUCCGCACCCAGCGCCUCGGGAGCCACUGGGUGGCGUAUGAACGCUGGCAUACAUAAAGGAGCAGGAUCCAUGGAAAAAAAAAAAAAAAACAAACCGAAAAUCACAAGGCAGAAAUAUACAUAGAUAAUUAAGUGGGCUCUCUUUGGACCGGGACGAGAGCAAGGGAAACCAACCUGGCGUACAUUAGGAAAGUGGUUACACGUCGUGCUUCCUUUAACAAAUAAAAGUCCAGAUGAUGAAGUAUCAAAGAGUAAAGUUCAGAGGCUGUAAAAGCAAUCAGCUAAUGAAAAAUCACAGCACAGCUUUGUCUUUGCCGUGCAGGGUAUGAACAGGGGACCGCAGGGGUAACUGCAAUUGCAAAGCCCUUUGGCAAACAGCUGCCCAAGAUCAUUCCUGGUGCUUAAAUACCUGCUGUCAGUGGCCAGUUGUUUGUGCCUUGCUCAGCUGGGCACUGGUGAUGCCACAGCCACAGUUCUUUCAGCCGUGCAGGGCCCCCAGGCGCUGAUGUGGCAGGAGCACCGCGGGUGCCCCGGCACAGCCCUGCUCAGCCCCGCAGUUUCGAGUUUUCAUUUCCAACAGGAGCAGCCACUCCCAGGACAUUGCUCACGGGGCUGAGGACAGCUGGCUCACCAGCAGCUGGCUUUGCAAGCCGGCUAAAGCCGGGAGAGUGUUUUCAGCAGGAGUCAGGAGCUAGUAGUACUUCAAUUCAGCACCCUCCAGACUCCCCACAUUUUCCUCCCCCAUCUGGUUGUUCCUGUCUGAUCUAUAACCCUUGCUGCAUUUCAUGGACUCCUUUCCCCCUGUUUGUUUAAUGUGAUUUAAAUAAAAUAAUGUGAUUUUAAGAAAAUAUCCAUAGUGUUUGCUCAUUGCCUGGAAUUACCCCUGCAGAAAAGUAAGUUCUCUCAGCCUCGUAGAGCUGGACCUGUGGAUAUUGCAACAAGAGACAUGCUUGGAGGAGUUAUUUGUUUUUGUCCCAGCAGGGUAAGGCCACAGAGUGACAGAGAAUAGGAGACACUCCAAGGUGAGGUGAGUGUCUUGUGACACAUUUUAUCUGGUUUUACCAACUGUCCAUACGAAUGAACAAGAAGCCCACUUUGAGUGACUUCCUUUUAUAUCAUGCUGGGGCUGGAACAGGAAAGUGGGGGGAACAGCACUAAGAUAAAUUAUACUAUUUUCAACUGAUUCAGAUAAGCAUUUGUUCUGAACACAACAGCAUCACAAUGAAUUCUCUUCAGCAUCUCUGAGAACCCCAUAUUACAGACAUGAGGCACUGACAUGCUUUCUUGCUGUUCAGGCAUCACACGAAUGGCAAAAGGCAGGAAAGUGCAGUUGUCAGCCAAGCUGGGGCUAUGUUUUCCUGCCACGCUCAGUUGUCUGCCUUCCCUCCUUUGUGUGAGGUGGGAUCAUGAGGUAUAUCCCAGCUCCCAGCUCUCAGCUGCCACUGACUCAUCACUGCCAGCCACCACCAAGUCACUGGCAGGCAGUGGUUGUUCCCUGCCUGCAGAUGUCACAGGGGCAAGAAGGGGACUUAGGUUUGCAGAGGAAAGGAGAAGUAGUUAAGCAGAGCAGAGUGAUGAUAUCCUUGAAGCAUACUGACUCCCCUUUAUCAGCUAAGGGAAUAGUUUUUCAUCCAGCCUGGAGAAAAGAAGGAAAUUGGAGGUGAACAGUCCUCUGCAGUUUGUCCAUUCCCCAGUGAACCAUGGCCAGGGUGUCCUGCCCAGCUGUGGGAAGUUCAUGUCCCAGCUCCAUGACUCAGUGUCUCUCUGUGAGAGGCAGAUCAUUCCCCCAGGGGCCGAAGUCCUUACUGCCUAUGACUGGUUUGUGAAACAUAAAAGAGAAAAAACAUAAAAGAGAAAGUGCUCUGUGGUUUUCAUGAGUCUUGAUAGAGCAGAUUGGUGUGUGGCUGCUCUUCUGCGGGAUGCCUGGGAAGAGACCAGGUUACUGGGAGGUAGCUGCCCUUACAGAGCAGUGGAUUAACAUGCAAGCCCUGAUGGAAAAAACAAUGUUCCUGCUGUGAGGGGAAAAUCUCACAUCCCUGGGAAAAGGCUGGGAAUACAUCCUCACUGAUGUUGUCUUCCUUCAGAGGCACAAAGGUGCUGUCUUCUCUGUCCUGCAGAUGGGAAGCUGAGGCAGAGAACAAAACUUAAUUGAUUUUUAUCCAUGGCAGAGGAAGUCCUCAGUGGAAAGGAGGUAGGGACCUGCAUCUGAGGUUAAUGCCCUCAGUAUCUCCACUACAGGCUCUCAUGAAGACUUCAGUGGUUUUGGGCAAAAUCACUUGAUCUGGAUCAGGCUCAGGAAGCGUCAUGAUGGAUUUUGAGUAAUAAACGGCAGCAAAAUAGGAAAGGAGAAAGUAAAGCCUGGCCUCUGAGGUCCUGAGCAGAGAGACAUUUGCACACAUCUUUAUCUGUGAAGGUUUCCUCAGUAUUUAGCAGUGAUGUAAACUCUUCCCUCUGAACAGCACCCAAAAUGCCAGCUGGCUCCAGCAGACUGCAGGAAGCACACAAGUGAAGUCUAAUGAAAGCCCAGGCACAGCAUCACAAAAGUGACAGUCACCGCAGUCUCAUGUAGGAUUGUGAGCUGCUGUUUCCUCCCAGAUUAGCAGAAGGCAGUGAGAUUUUGGGGGUUUUCUCCAGUGUUGGGGUGUCACUCUUUAGCUAAGCAUCCCCUCCAACUGACUGCAGCCUGCCUGUGGUUGCAGGGUCGAUCAUACUGUAUGGAUCUUGAGUCAGCCAGAGAAGAAAAUGUCAUUACUUCUUCCUUUAUUUUUUGUUCUUUAUUCCUUUCCGGCUAAUAGAGUUCUCCCCUCCCCAAUUUUUUAAUUCCCACAAGAUUCUGCAGUCCAGAAUACUCUGUCCUUAAAGAUAAAAUGUACAAAUAAGCAGAAAUCAUUAUAUAAGUCAGUGAAUAUUACAGUUAAUCAUCAGGACUGCCUGGCUGGCCUCCCUCUGCACUGCCCAAGAAAGUGCCGAUAAAACUAGAUAGAUAUGUGACUUGAUCCUGGUGCCUGAACACAUUAGUCAAUUUUAAUCUUUUUAUUAUGCAAUAAUUAAGGCAUAAACUCUGCCUUUCGGUCUGAGAGAAAGUUUAUAAUGCUUGGAAGCACAUGGGUAUGAAAAAUAUUUUUUAUUGAUGUCUUUUCAGACUGUGCUUUGACACAAGAUUGUCCAUUAGGGCCCCAGUGCUCCUAGAGGAGGCAUUCCCACCCAGAACCAGCCCUAGGCUCCUGGCAUCUCACAGCUGGGUUUAUGGGAGAACAGGGCUGGCCUGGCUGUAGUGCUCACACAAAACUGGAUCCUCUCUUCCUUUGCACUGUGAGCACAUGGCCCAGUUUUUCCUAGGCAUUUGAGUGCCUCUUCCCUCCCAUUUAAGGGGGAAUGCAAGCAUGCUGAAGGUGGCCUGAGGAUUAGAUAUUCUCCAAAGGUCUUAGGGACCAAGAAUAGGCAUAAUUUUAGGUGAAGUAGUGGGAAAUCUGAGUGGCUUCACGUGCACCCUUGAAGGCUCUGAGCUGGGCAGCAUCCAAGUUUAUCUCAAUUUCUACACUGCUCUAGAACACCAGCCCUCCACCUCUGACAUCUGAGACCCACAGCUCUGGGGCUGUAAAAGGAGAUGACAGUGACACCAGGAUUUCUAUUCACAUCUAUCACAAAACCUGCAGCACAGCCUCCUAUUUAAAUAGCAAACUUCUGCCAAAGCACAAAUGCCUCCUCCUACGAGAGUCAGUGUGCCCUCAGCUUGCACCUGAGUGACUCACAGCCACGGGCACUUGCCACCUCCCAGGAGGUGCUGAGCAGUGGGUAGCAUGACACCAGGAAAACUACGCUGGGGCAACAGAGGUCCGUGGCUGGAGGGUGUUGUAAGAGCUGUGUGCUGGAAAUGUGUAAUAGCACCUGUUUCACAAGGUCUGGCUGGGAUUGAUGCUAUUAAUCCCCUGCUUCCAUGGGUACUAAAUGCACCCACACAAUGAGAAAGUAGCAUCUCACUGAUCAAAGUCAGCUCUGCUACUUUUGCACCCACUUUGCUAUUAUUCACACCUCACAGCUGGAUCAACAUGUGAUGCACUGCAGUCCUUCAUUUUUCUUGCUCUGGACUGCAAGUAUAUUUAAUGUUUACCUGCUUGGAGAAACAACACAUUUUACCCAGUGAUAAAUCUACUUUUUAUUUGUUCAGAAGGCCAGGUUAUAUUACUAAUUCAAAGAUGAUGAAUAGAUUAACUAUUUGGUGGAUCAAAGUACAGCAAUAUAUUUUGGGUGUUUGUUACACUAGGGAGGGUGCAUAACAGGUUAGUCCAUUGAAGAUUUAUUUUAUUUUAACAUUUCUUGAUUUCAAAACAAUAAAAUGCUGCUCAUGGGUAAACUUCGUAAACAAAGGAGACUGCCAAUGGGCCUGACAACGUUUCCUUGGUAACAUUUCUUAGCUUUUACCCCAGUGAUUGAUAUCCAAGGAUAGCCAUUUGCUUUCUGCAGAGAAGCAGGAGAAUAUGGCUCAAUGAUUCUCUUCCUGGCUUCUUAAAGCAGAGAGAAGAGAAGCAAUCCUCUACAGCUGAUGUGGCUUUACUUAUUAUUAAAAAAAAAAAAAAAAUGGAAAAAGGAAAAAGAAAAACCAACCAACCAACCAACCAACCAACCAACCAAAAUAAACCCCAACAAAAAUUACCUAGAAAAAAAAAACCUAGGCAAAUUGCACUUGGAACCUGAUCCAAAAGGACCACUGUACUUGACAGAAAAACUCUGACUUCAAAGGUCUUCAGACCAGAUCUCUGAAGUGUGUUUAAGACUGACCUUAAUCUGAAUACAGAUAUGAAUUUCUCUGCUGUGCUCCUUGCUUUCUUUGAUUAAAAACCUUUUGUGCAAAGUUUCCUUUUUCUGUUUGUGCUUCCAGCCCUACCAUUUGUGGGGAGGGUUCAAAGCCACCUACCCUGAGAAAUGGGCAGCCAUGAGAGGCUGGGUCCUAAUUUGCUUUUACAGUAAGAUAUUCCCAAAUUUAACGCAACAAAGGAAAACUGGAUUUUCAAGCCCAGUCAGAACUUGUCAAAAAGUGGGUUUAGGUGUGUGAGUGAGAUGUAAAACACCAAAAUGGUGCCACUGAUGCAAAGCCCUUUGCAGUCACACAAGUGACACCACUCCUGCAGUGAUUGUGACUGCCAACAAAGAUGCCCGGCUGCCAGAGGUCCAGAGGUACUGCCAGAUUCAGUCAAUGACAACUCCACAUCAAACACCACAGUGAGCAUCGAAUUACUCCUGAAGACACAGGAAACACACUCAUGGCACUCCACUGUGGCUAGGGCUGAGCAGAUGAUGAGAACUUGGGUGACUUUGCAGCUCCUUAACAC